RNAcentral lists this ribosomal RNA (468 nucleotides) under uncultured bacterium. RNAcentral describes it as "partial 16S ribosomal RNA". It matches the Rfam family "Bacterial small subunit ribosomal RNA", at positions 28 to 507 of the family's 1533-position model. The record is from RNAcentral.
GACGAACGCUGGCGGCGUGCUUAACACAUGCAAGUCGAACGGAAAGGUCCUGCUUUUGUGGGGUGCUCGAGUGGCGAACGGGUGAGUAACACGUGAGUAACCUGCCCUUGACUUUGGGAUAACUUCAGGAAACUGGGGCUAAUACCGGAUAGGAGCUCCUGCUGCAUGGUGGGGGUUGGAAAGUUUCGGCGGUUGGGGAUGGACUCGCGGCUUAUCAGCUUGUUGGUGGGGUAGUGGCUUACCAAGGCUUUGACGGGUAGCCGGCCUGAGAGGGUGACCGGCCACAUGGGGACUGAGAUACGGCCCAGACUCCAACGGGAGGCAGCAGUGGGGAAUAUUGCACAAUGGGCGGAAGCCUGAUGCAGCAACGCCGCGUGCGGGAUGACGGCCUUCGGGUUGUAAACCGCUUUCGACUGUGACGAAGCGUGAGUGACGGUAAUGGGUAAAGAAGCACCGGCUAACUACGUG